GGGGAACAGGAGGUCUCACUCUGACCCACAGACUGUUCCAGGCAAAGCAGGCCACCGUACCGAGCUCUGCCGCGCCGCGUCACAGGAAAACGACACCGAGCACAGAAGCUGCUGCAGGUCACAGAAGCCUGACCGCUGCCAGUUGUCGAGUUGACCUCUGACCUUUCCUCUGACCUGUGAGGAGCAGGGGGGCGGAGUCUCUGUCAGCACAGGAGGAGGAGACGCAGUUUAAAUUCUUCACGUUUGAUCCAGAAUGAAAACACUGAUUUAGAGGAAAAGAAUGAAGAGAAGCAGAGCAGCUGAUUGGUCGUUAAUCCUGUUACGCCUGAACGCACCUCAGGUGAGUCGCUGAGCCUGUGCUGCCUUCAGGUACCUCAAGCUGUGACCUCUGACCUCACUCAACAGGAAGUGAGUGUGUGGGUUCAAAUGUACGCGACCGCCUGAUCCCCGAGGAUUUGACUCUGAAGGGUUUGAAGUCUGCGGGCGACCUUUGACCUCCAGGACACUUUGUAGCCAAAGAACAAG
Solea senegalensis (Senegalese sole) is the source of this 525-nucleotide long non-coding RNA. RefSeq lists it as uncharacterized. The transcript has 3 exons. Lineage: Eukaryota; Metazoa; Chordata; Actinopteri; Pleuronectiformes; Soleidae. The record is from RefSeq and is a predicted model, not a curated record.